RNAcentral lists this ribosomal RNA (338 nucleotides) under Clostridioides difficile. RNAcentral describes it as "bacterial LSU rRNA". It matches the Rfam family "Bacterial large subunit ribosomal RNA", at positions 2583 to 2925 of the family's 2925-position model. The record is from RNAcentral. Lineage: Bacteria; Bacillati; Bacillota; Clostridia; Peptostreptococcales; Peptostreptococcaceae.
GCCCGUUCACGGGGGACGCGGGCUGGGUUCAGAACGUCGUGGGACAGUUCGGUCCCUAUCCGUCGCAGGCGUAGGAAAUUUGAGAAGACCUGUCCGUAGUACGAGGGGACCGGGAGGGACGUGCCUCUGGGGUAACAGUGGUUCUGCCAAGUGCAUGGCUGGGUAGCUAGGUACGGAAGGGAUAAGCGCUGAAAGCAUCUAAGCGCGAAGCCAACUUCAAGAUAAGAUUUCCCACCGCAAGGGUAAGACCCCAGAAAGACUAUCUGGUUGCUAGGUCGAAGGUGUAAGUGCAGCAAUGUAUUUAGCUUAUCGAUACUAAUAGGUCGAGGACUUGACCA